Molecule: long non-coding RNA, 318 nt
Filed under: Chinchilla lanigera (long-tailed chinchilla)
Lineage: Eukaryota; Metazoa; Chordata; Mammalia; Rodentia; Chinchillidae
Description: lncRNA (ENSCLAG00000024568.1)
Source: RNAcentral
AAGCGCUCUUUGAGAGUUGUUUGCUUACUGGUGGAGGUGAUGUACCGUACUUGAGUAUCCAUGACAACACUGCGACACACCAGAGAGGGUGCCUCUUCUGUGGAAUUGGCAGGAUUGAAAAUGCUUUCUUCCUACUGCCACAACUUACAUCACAGUUCAUGUAAGCACUUGGGUGUGCUCGCUCUUUUGAAUGUCCAGUUCUCCACUACCUCUUAAGGCUUUGGUGCUGGGACUCCAUGAAAUUCAUCUUCAGAUCAACAAUCAAUAGCACAAUAAUUGGAACUUCAAAAUGCAUUAAAUGAAUGAGUAUUAACCCAA